Molecule: ribosomal RNA, 442 nt
Filed under: uncultured bacterium
Lineage: Bacteria
Description: partial 16S ribosomal RNA
Rfam family: Bacterial small subunit ribosomal RNA
Source: RNAcentral
CCUACGGGAGGCAGCAGUGGGGAAUAUUGGGCAAUGGUCGCAAGCCUGACCCAGCAACGCCGCGUGACGGAAGAAGGCUUUCGGGUUGUAAACUUCUUUUAAUAGAGAAGAGCAGAAGACGGUACCUCUUGAAUAAGCCACGGCUAACUACGUGCCAGCAGCCGCGGUCAUACGUAGGUGGCAAGCGUUGUCCGGAUUUACUGGGCGUAAAGCGCUCGUAGGCGGUAUGUCAAGUCAAGUGUGAAAUCCCCGGGCUCAACGUGGGAACUGCAUUUGAUACUGGCAAACUGGAGUGUGGGAGAGGAUAGUGGAAUUCGAGGUGUAGCAGUGAAAUGCGUAGAUAUCUGGAGGAACAUCAGUGGCGAAGGCGACUAUCUGGAACAUAACUGACGCUGAGGAGCGAAAGCGUGGGUAGCAAACAGGAUUAGAUACCCCAGUAGUC